Molecule: ribosomal RNA, 253 nt
Filed under: uncultured bacterium
Lineage: Bacteria
Description: partial 16S ribosomal RNA
Rfam family: Bacterial small subunit ribosomal RNA
Source: RNAcentral
CACGUAGGGCGCAAGCGUUGUCCGGAUUUAUUGGGCGUAAAGAGCGUGUAGGCGGCCAUACAGGUCCGUUGUGAAAACUCGAGGCUUAACCUCGAGACGUCGAUGGAAACCGUAUGGCUAGAGUCCGGAAGAGGAGAGUGGAAUUCCUGGUGUAGCGGUGAAAUGCGCAGAUAUCAGGAAGAACACCCGUGGCGAAGGCGGCUCUCUGGGACGUUACUGACGCUGAGACGCGAAAGCGUGGGGAGCAAACAGG